RNAcentral lists this ribosomal RNA (484 nucleotides) under uncultured bacterium. Its description in RNAcentral is "partial 16S ribosomal RNA". It matches the Rfam family "Bacterial small subunit ribosomal RNA", at positions 30 to 507 of the family's 1533-position model. The record is from RNAcentral.
AUUGAACGCUGGCGGCAGGCCUAACACAUGCAAGUCGAGCGGAUGAAGGAAGCUUGCUCCUGGAUUCAGCGGCGGACGGGUGAGUAAUGCCUAGGAAUCUGCCUGGUAGUGGGGGAUAACGUCCGGAAACGGGCGCUAAUACCUCAUACGUCCUGAGGGAGAAAGUGGGGGAUCUUCGUACCUCACGCUAUCAGAUGAGCCUAUGUCGGAUUAGCUAGUUGGUGGGGUAAAGGCCUACCAAGGCGACGAUCCGUAACUGGUCUGAGAGGAUGAUCAGUCACACUGGAACUGAGACACGGUCCAGACUCCUACGGGAGGCAGCAGUGGGGAAUAUUGGACAAUGGGCGAAAGCCUGAUCCAGCCAUGCCGCGUGUGUGAAGAAGGUCUUCGGAUUGUAAAGCACUUUAAGUUGGGAGGAAGGGCAGUAAGUUAAUACCUUGCUGUUUUGACGUUACCAACAGAAUAAGCACCGGCUAACUUCGUG